Molecule: small nucleolar RNA, 114 nt
Filed under: Cricetulus griseus (Chinese hamster)
Lineage: Eukaryota; Metazoa; Chordata; Mammalia; Rodentia; Cricetidae
Description: Small nucleolar RNA SNORA23 (ENSCGRG00015034572.1)
Source: RNAcentral
UGUGUCGUGUGUGUGUGUCUGUGUGUCGUGUGUCUGUGUGUCUGUGUCACACACACACACAGACACACAGACACACAGACACAUACACACACGUGUGCACAUGCACACACACAC